UCCCUGGAAGUCCAGUGGUUAAGACUCUGUGCUUUCACUACAGGGGGCUCAGGUUCAAUCCCUAGUCAGGGAA
Ovis aries (sheep) is the source of this 73-nucleotide transfer RNA. It matches the Rfam family "tRNA". From Rfam's summary of the family: Transfer RNA (tRNA) molecules are approximately 80 nucleotides in length. Their secondary structure includes four short double-helical elements and three loops (D, anti-codon, and T loops). The record is from Rfam. Lineage: Eukaryota; Metazoa; Chordata; Mammalia; Artiodactyla; Bovidae.